GAUCAUGGCUCAGGAUGAACGCUGGCGGCGUGCUUAACACAUGCAAGUCGAGCGAAGCGGUUUAAGUGAAGUUUUCGGAUGGAUCUUGGAUUGACUGAGCGGCGGACGGGUGAGUAACGCGUGAGGAACCUGCCUCAAAGAGGGGGACAACAGUUGGAAACGACUGCUAAUACCGCAUAAGCCCACGGCUCGGCAUCGAGCAGAGGGAAAAGGAGCAAUCCGCUUUGAGAUGG
RNAcentral lists this ribosomal RNA (233 nucleotides) under uncultured bacterium. RNAcentral's name for it is "partial 16S ribosomal RNA". It matches the Rfam family "Bacterial small subunit ribosomal RNA", at positions 15 to 228 of the family's 1533-position model. The record is from RNAcentral.